Molecule: long non-coding RNA, 871 nt
Organism: Balaenoptera ricei (Rice's whale)
Lineage: Eukaryota; Metazoa; Chordata; Mammalia; Artiodactyla; Balaenopteridae
Exons: 2
Source: RefSeq, a predicted model, not a curated record
ACGGCGCGGGCGGCGGGGAGCAAGCUUAACUGCCGGCCUAUUUUCUCCCCCGGGCCCUCGCUCCGGGGUGGACGCCCGAGCGCCGGCGCCGCCUCCUCCCCCGUGGGCAGUGAUGGUACCUGCCGGCGUCCGGCGAGCGCCCGGGCCCAGGGGCCCCCUUCUCUCUGCCCACGCGCACGCCGCCGCGCUCCGCCCAGCAACAGAGUCCCCGCCGGGCGAGAGCGGUGCCACAUCCGGGUACUGGCGCACCGAAGGCCGCAGCAGCACGUUCUCUGAGGGAUUAGGAGAGGGCUCCUCAGUAACAGUACGGUGGAAGGGUUUUGGAGAGUUGCGCGACUGGAGAAAGAAAGCAGAGGAAAAUCGCUCCCUAAGCGCCUCACCAAGGCCCUGUGAGGGUGCGCAUGCGCACGUCCUGUAAACGCUAAGGGGCAGACGCCCAGCCCCAGUCUGAGACGAUGGAGGGGCGGUUCCCUGGAGUUGUUGCGGACCGGUUGUGCCGCGCGUCCCAUUGGCUGUGAGGGAAGGGGCGGGGCAAGGAAGUGCGUCUGGCUGAUUUUGAGGUGAGACUGGAGGCAGUGAGGAUCUGGAUGUGGUCUGGGCUGCUGAGACCGGGUACCUCUGGUGAGGGGAAGGGAAAAGGAGAUUUGGACACACAGACAUAUGGGGACGAAGGCCAUGUGACAACCGAGGCAGAGAUUGGAGUGAUGCUCCUGUAAGACAAGAAUGCCAAGGAUUGCCAGCAACCAGGAAUAAGCAAGGAACGAUCCUUCCCUGCUGCCUUCAAAGAGAGAGCACAGCCCUGACAACACCUUGAUUUUGGAUUUCUAGGCUCCAGAACUGUGAAAAAAUAAAUGUCUGUUGUUUUAAUCCA